This is a long non-coding RNA of Cryptotermes secundus, 3278 nucleotides long. RefSeq lists it as uncharacterized. The record is from RefSeq and is a predicted model, not a curated record. Lineage: Eukaryota; Metazoa; Arthropoda; Insecta; Blattodea; Kalotermitidae. The transcript is spliced from 2 exons.
AAAUGCGGAAAGUUGGGUUAAGUAAGAAGUUUCGUUUAUCCAGAUCAAGUAUGAAGAUAACAGUUGCAUUAUUCAUGUACCCUCUAAGAGGCUGUACGGCAUUGAAUGAAAUCUUGGAGCUGGAAAGGAUGUGAAACUGGCCAUGGACCAUUUUAAGGUACUCUCCCAACAUCUGCCUGCAGGGACUGAGGAUACUGGUCACCUAGUUCAGAAUCAAACUGGGGCUCCCUCAAAUACAAAGCCAGAAUACUAACCAACCAACCACAGCAUUCUGGAUUCCCCUAGAAUUAGAAUUUGAUAGCUUAAUGAGUAUUAGUACUACUACUAAAUGUGUUUGUAAUGUCAUAUAAAUUCAAAAUAUUUCCAAGGUUUCCAUGUUAUUACUGUCCAUUUUAUCAAACAGUUACCGUAUUAACACUGUAUUACAAAGAUGAUAUUUCUAAUGGAGUGAUGUUCAUACAGUGUUACAUGACAUUUGGUUGCUUAGUGCCUAUGCCAGCUCUGAUGUCCACAGCUGAAUAUGAGGAUGGGCAAAUUAAGUUUACUAAUAUGAUUCUGAAGGACAUACUUGCUUCUUCAGAAUUAUAAAGAGAACUCCACAAUGACAAAUACUUCAAAAAGAAUUAUGCAAUUCUGUACUGUGCUGCAUAAGCUAUGAGGGAGAGUCAGUAAAUAGGUCACAAAUGGAUAUAAAAUGUAAAACAUGUGAUAUUCGAACGUUGAAAAAGAAUUUGUUUCUCAACGUAUCCUCCACCAACAUUGAUACACUUGUCCCAUUGCUUUACCAAUGCAUCAAAACCAGCAACAUAGAAGUCUUUUGACUGUUGUCUCAGCUACUUCCCCUCCUCCAUUGUAACCUCUUCUUCAGCAAAACGUCUGCCACCAAGGUGGUUUAUUAGCAGACCAAACAUAUGGACAUCACUAGGGGCCUAGUCUGGGCUGUAAGGCAAAGGUUCAAGAAGUUGCCACUGUAGUUCUUUAAUUCUUUCCUGGGUUCCUCAGGCUGUAUGUGGUCUGGCACUGUCAUGAUGAAGCAGUAUUCCUUUUUCCAGUUGGCCUGGACAUUCUGCGAAUUGCAUCCUCAAGCUUCAACCAAACUUCACAGUAUGAUACAGAAUUCACAUUUUCACAAUGCUUCUGAAAAUGGGCUAACAGUACUCCCUGAGAAUCCCAAAACAAGGUAAGCAUAACCUUCCCAGCUGACAGUGUUAACUGAACUUUUUGAUUGAAGGUAAACUGGGAUGUUUCCACUACACUGAAGCAGCUUCAGUUCAUGUUGGUAGUGAUGCACCCAUGAUUUGUCCCCAGUAUCAAUAUUUUCACCCCAUUUGCUUCAAUUUUCUCAGUCCUUCAGUUCUCUGGGCACCCACCAUGUGCUUUCUGAAACUCAAACGAUUAUGCAUUAACCCUUGGACCACCCCAGUGCAGUUGCUACACUAUCGUCAUCAUCCUGUCAGCUCAAAUCAACUCUUCCACCGGCUGAACAAUUGCUCCUUUUGCAAUCUAAACAGAGUGAUCUGGUUGGGCAUCAUCUGCGACUUUCAAACAUCUGAGAGAAUUUCUUGACCCAGUUGUGAACAGCUUUACAUGACAAACAUUUCCCACUGUAAACAGGAAACAUUUCUUUAUGAACAUUCUUUGCAUUGCUUCCAUUUGCCCACAAAGGACACACAACAGAAUGCAACCCUUCAGUAGCACACUCAAGCAUGGAUGCCAUUUUGACUACUGAAACCAGCCUCUGAACAUGUGCAUGCAUGCCUACUACCUAACGAUGCACAUAAAAAACCUAUUAUGUGCAGUACAGCUGUUUUACUUCAAUUUGUGACAUAUUUACUGACUCUCCCUUGUAUUAUUUAGAAUGGUGCCAAGGAAGGAAAAUAGACGAAAACGAAAAGCACCUGAAGAUGGCACUUUUGUGCUGAAACAUGUAUAAGAGAGAAGAGUAAGGUGAAUAAAUGUAUGCACUGUAAGACAGUUAGAAUAAAUCAUGGAGGAAAAUAGAGUUGGACUAGGGCUGAAGGAUGUAGUAAAGGGUAAGUUGCACAAAUGUCAAAUGUUUAACAUUCAAGUUAUGGCAUUUGCAUCUGCUGUAUGCAAAAGGUUUGCUCCAUGUGAAAGGAAAGAGUGAAGUGACACAUGCCAAACAAUUUUAAUACAAUGGGGAUUUUUUUAAUAGCUUAAGAAACAGUCUUCAAAGUUCACAUUACAACUGCAGAAAGUUGACGAGCACUAAGUAAUUAAAUCUUUAAUAAUAUUAAAGCUGCUCUAAAAUGUCAGGAAUUUAAAUAAGGUUUGCAUAAAAGAGCAGACUUAAAUUUUUUUGUUGUUGAAAAUGAAAUAUUUUCUGGCUUUCAAGGAAAAACUGACAUUUCAUAACUGGAUUGACAAUUCAGUUGCUGUUUCUGUUGUGUCUAUAACAUCUCACAUUUGUUUCUGCCAUGUUUAUGCUGACUGGCAAAAUAUAAGUGUCAUGGUUUUGUAUGCUUUAUGUGUGGGUGAUGACAUGUGAGAAAAAAUAAGAGGAUAAGACGAAAUUUUAUUGGUUAGCUAAGCCUGAUAAUAAUUUUAUAUGCAAAGAAACAUUUUAACAGUCAAUUAUUUUAAUGUGACACAAAACAUAAACAUACGAAACAGACGUAACAAAACUGACCACACAGUAACUUGAUAUAAAAGAACUGCAACAAUGAUUACAACUGUCAACAAGUAACCACCAAUAGCUGCUUCAUAUUCAGAAAACAUGACCAUAGGAAUAUGAAAAAAAUCAACAAUAAAUUUCUUCAAUUAACUAUUUUUUUUAAUUCUUAAUAAUGUGUCAAUGGCGCAAUAAUAUUGUGACAUGUCAAACCGUUGUUUGUCCAUGUCGAGCUGAAGUGCGCUGGUUGCUAUGCAGCGUUGUGCAGCAACGCUUCUGUAAACAGCAAUUACACAACAGUGAAGCGAGGUGUGUUUCCACUGCCCGACUGAGGGUUUAUAACAGUAACUGGAAUGCCUAAGGAGUUUAGUUGAAGGCUGACAGUCGCCGAGUACAGUUGAAGUCUGAAAGGACUAUAGCAGAAGAAGUAAAUGUGACACUGUGAAUUAUGUAAGUGUGGAUAAAAAUGUACAAUGAAUAUUCACUAAAUCCGAAGUGGCGCGAGUUAUUUGUUACGCCACACAGGAAACACGUGACAAUAUCAAAUGUACACUUAUCUGUCUUCUAUUGCUGAAAAGUACCAUGAACACGUUCUUAAACAUAAUUAUGGCAGGUUCCAUACCAUAUUACACCAAUCAAUAAAAUG